Non-coding RNA from Macaca mulatta (Rhesus monkey), 5591 nucleotides. The record is from RefSeq and is a predicted model, not a curated record. Lineage: Eukaryota; Metazoa; Chordata; Mammalia; Primates; Cercopithecidae.
GCUCCAGACACUAACUCAGGGUCAGCUUCUUAGAGACCCAGGAGUCCCCUCUCCCUACUGCGUGAGAAUGGAGUUUAGCAUGUGCCUACUCAACAGGGGCCAAGACACGGGAAGCUGCGGGGCAGACAGCGAAUACGUUUUCUGGUGAAAUCAGAGAUUCACAUGGACUGCAUGGAAAACCUGUGGGGUAGGAAACCGACUCCCCACCUCAAACAGGAUCUCAGGGAAUCUGAUGGGUGAGUCUUAGAACAGAUAGAUGCUCACAGUCCCCAUUUUAUGCUUCUUUUAGAAAAUGGUAUUUAACAGCCCAGAGACUUGUCACGUGAUGCAGGAAGCACACACCAUCCGGGCCCCUCAGGUACAUCUUCCUUCCCCAGGACAAACCCUACUUAGCAUGGAGGAGUUAACAAAAUCACAGCCCAAGAUGGUAUGACAGCAGCUUGAUUAAUAACGAUUAUCACAGCAGAUGGAAAACUGUAGACAAACUUUCCAUAGAAUGAGUCUACCACAAAAUUUCUUGAUGAGACAGAAGGAUGGUUAGCGACCACAGACUUAUUCCUUACUGAACGGAAUAAAAUUGCUGAAUUUCUACUCACCCCUUUUGAUAAUUUUCACAGAUCUCCAGUGGCUUACAUUUGAGAUUCAGACCCCUCAUUCAUGUGUGAAAUAUACUGCUUACUAUGCGGACGUGUGAUACUUCAUAGGGCAGCGAACGGCGCGUUCCUCCUUAAAUGUAUGUGUGUGCAUGUGUCUCUGAGCAAAAGUGACUACAAAGGUAUUCUGUUCAGCACUUCAGCUUUCCAGUGGGUAUGGAUACUUGGACCUCUGCUGCUGAGAGAAAGCAAGUUUUACACCCACCACUAGAAUGUUUUUUGAUCAUUUGGGUUGUUUUGCUUCGUCCCUGCUUUUGUUGUUUAAUUUCCAUUACAGCGCGAAUAGCCUCAGCAGACGCUAACCAUUAAUUCUGGAACACAGAGCCAGCGUCUCUUUUUAUUCCCUCCCUCCCGCCACAGCUCAUCUCAACAUGGAAGAGAAAGGACCUUGCCCUCCUCCUUGUGCCGCUGCUGGAAGGAGAAAGAGCCCUCCGUCCCCUCAUGUCUGCUGCAGGACAGGGGGCCCAAGAGGGCCUCAGCACACUGGCUGCAAGACGGAGACCAGUGACCAGAGCCAAAGCAAGUGGAAAGCAAGGAAAGCCUCCUCUCUUGGAUCCAAAGAGCCUCCCGGUGCUGGGUAAAGAUGCCAGUCGGUGCGCGAGUCUUCAAAUGUUGCUCUGCUCCUCCUGCCCCCAUACCAAGGGGAGCCCCCUCCAGCAACUUUGCUUAAUUAACCUGUUCAGAGAAGCUAGAAAACCCCUUCAGCUGAAUAGUUCACAAAUUGAGCCUCAACUGCCAGCAGAUUCCUGUCUUGUAUACUAUUCAGAGUAUUAAUUAUCCUAUCAAAUACUCUGUGUUCCUGCCCCACUCUUAAAGAACCAAAAUCCAAAGGAGAAUGCAUUUGCUAAGCAAACCCAGACACACGCACCUGCACUGUAUCAGUGAGAGGCGUCAGGCAGGGGAAGAUGUGGAGCUGAGGCGUUUCUGCACCGUGAUUUUAAACGACUUGCCACCAAAAUGGUCCUGGUGAAGGCCGAGGGGCUGAGCCAGAAGAACAUUGACCAGGAGCUUGCAGGUCUGGGCUCCGGCUCCCGCUUUCACUCCUCACCGGCCUGGCUGCCUGCUUUCCUGCCUGCCUGCCCCUUGGCCUAGUCACUUGUCCUCCCUCACAAUCAGCUUCCCAUCUGUAAAAUGUGUCUGGAAUUCACGGGACUGUUGCAAGAACCUAUGAGAUAAUGAAGGUGGAAGCACUUUGUAAACUCUAAGGAAUUACACAAGUGUAAGGGCCCUGGCCAUGUCUCAAUGGCAUGACCGCUUCCUUGCUCGUGAACCAAUAGGAUUGGGAAGUAGGUUAGGGAUGGAGGUGCCCUCUCGGCCUCACCUAUCCCCUCUGAGAUACAUGUGUGUUUACCUGGCCCCCACUGAUAGUGAGACUACCAAGGAUGGCUCCGUUUAAAAAUAGGACAACAUGUAUUGCCUAUUAAAGAGGGAAAUAUGCUCUGGGGAAGGUUCUAAGUAAGAGUUUGGGGGCCAGAGGGUCAGGGUUGAAAUCAUUCCUCUGCGCCUGGCUGUGUGACACUGGGUAAGUUACUUAACCUCAAUAAGCCUCCAUUUCCUCCACUGUAAAAUGCAGGUGGCCAUAACAUUGCCCUUCUUAGGGUUACUGUAAUGAUUAAAUGAGAGAACGCAUGUUAACCAUUUGUCUCAGGACCUGGCACGUGGUCAAGUCGGUAAGAGCUACCCAACCUUUGUGCCAUGGAGUUCGGAGCAGGCCUCCAGACGGUUGUUGGUAAAUAUGGUGGGCAUUACGUGAAUUGGUGGUGUUCAGCCAUUCAUUUCAGCUACUUUCUUAAGCCAUCCAAGGCUUUGUUCAAAUGCUACCACCUCCAGAAACCCUUUCUUAAUCCAGUCCCCAAGCCUGCUCCCCGCGAUGUAGUCAUUUAACUGUUAGGUCGGGCCAGCUUCAUGGGCACAGGAACUGUGCAGCGGUAAAGAGCCCUCACUCGCAAGACCCACAUGUGGCUUCCUGCUCUGCUGUCUUUUGGAUCAAGGGACCUUGUAUUUUCACUUGGCACUGGGCCCUGCAAAUUAGGUAGCUGGUCCAGGUUACAAUAUUUCAUUUUUGCCCCAGUUCUGUCUCAGAAAUUGUAUAAUUUGUUGUUGACAGGCCUUUCAGAAUACACAAUUUGUCCUCAUUCUUCAUGAAUUCCAGAAUUGUGACUUUGCCCACUUGCUGAAUUUAUGUUACCCCCAAAUCAACACCGUGGCACUUUCACAAUCAGGCGCAGAUGUGUGCAGAGUGGAGAAAAACUCGAAUCGUCCCACACACAUGUUCCCAUGUGAGGUCAAACCAGGGGAUGCUCUGCCCGCUCAUUUUAAUUUUCAACCUGUAAACAAGUGUCCUCUUUGUGGUACGUUUAAUGACACAUUUUUUGCACCUUUGUGCUUUUUGUUGAUGCUAUUGCCAUUUAAAAUGGCCCCCAAGGGUAGGGCUGCAGUGCGUCUAGCAUCCCUAAGUGCACAAAGGCUGUGAUGUGCCUUAUGGAGAAAAUACAUGUGUAGAUAUGCUUUGUUCACCCAUGAGUUAUGAUGCUGUUGGCCAUGAGCUCAACGUUAAUGAGUUAACAAUAUGUGUUAAAUAUCAUGUCUGUAAACAGACACACACUCACAAAGACAAGGCAUGUAUUGAUCAACGGACAAAGAUGUUGUGACCAGAGGCUCACAGGAACAUAACCCUGUGUUUCCCCUAGGAAGAAGAGUUCAGUAUUCACUUGAUUCAGUGUUCACAGAGACUUUAUAGAACAUUACUACCAAGAAUAACAGGAAUUGCCUGUAAUUCCUUUAAGGUUGAUGACCCGUUUUAUUUCUUUUCUCACCUUCCCAUCAUCACCUUGGCCCUCUUCUCAGUGCCUAGGAGAGUACUAUGAAUAUACUGGUAUUCAGAAAAGUUAACUACAGUAAGUGACGAUUCUGUCUUUGAAGAAAUAUUAACAGUUGCUUGUUGAUUCUGAGAUUGUAUGGCUUGUUUCAUACUGCAUCACCCUCCCUUUGUGAGACUGUGGAUAUUUGAAAGGCUAUUCUGCAAAACUUGGAGGGUACUCUCAGUCUUUUCCUUGUUGAAAUGAAAUAGUAGAGCAGGCGAUGGUCACGGACUAAUGCACCUAGAUUCGUUAUAGUCCUAGGACAAAAUAUUAAAGACCCAGACUUGAAACGUGUUAAGGAGAGAGUUGUCAUAGAGUUCUAACGGGAUCCAUAGCAAACUAAGGGGUCUGUAUCUUUAGGAAAAUUCUGGGUAAGGGAGAGCUCCUACUCUGAGUUCCUCUUGAAUGAACCAUUUAUAAGGGUCACCUGGAAUAAAUAGCGUGGCGAGAAAUGGCAUCCACUACUUAGGACAGAAGUUAAAGACUUCUAAAAAAAUAACCUACUUAGCAUCUGUCUAAAGCAGAUGGGAUUAUGGGAUCCCAAGCCAGGAGUGACUCAGCAUCUUAAAAACGCAGAAAUGGAUGAAAUGAGUUUUGUCAGUUGUCACUAGGAUAAUGCUCAUGUCCAUUCUAUCAUAGGUGAGCCAAAGGUGAGCAUCUUUUAUUUUCUUUUUUUUUUAGAGAGGGGUUUUACCAUGUUGCCCAGGCUGGUCUCGAACUUCUGUGCUUAAGCAAUCCACCUGCCUCAGCCUCCCAAAGUGCUGGGAUUACAAGUGUGAGCCACCAUACCCGGCUGGUGAGCCUAUUUUCUAAGUACUAAAAAUGCCUAUUCUCUAUUGGCUGAGUCCAAAACCUGCUGAGGUCUAUCAUGAUCCCCUUUAGGAAGAAGAGAAUUUGACUUGGUUGUUUUAUUCAAGGCAUUUGAGGAAUAACACGUGUGUUGAAGGGCGUCAAAAGGAAUGAGCAUCUGGCACCUGGACCCAAUUGCUCCUCCCAUCCCAUCUUGGGCCAUCCACCUCCAGGUUCAUGGUCCUGGCUGCUGGCUCUGCCCUCCUUCCUUGGAGGCAUCUCCAUAGCUAGGUAGGUUUCUUCCAAAGUGGCCGUCUUCGAAAGUAAUCGGCACAGACUAUGAGGUAAACAAGUAAGGCUGAGAGAGACCUGCCCCUGAGAAAGACAAAGUUCAGAUUUGACAGACAACCCAUUGAGGAGGGCGACAUAAAAGCACAGCAGGUAAUAAAGAACCUAGGCAUGUGUCCUGACGGCUGAUGAAUACAAUCUGCUAGACAAUGUGUCUUUUGAGAAGAGAAAUUAAAAGAGCCUCACCACCCUCAAUGACGUGUCUCUUUGGGUUUGGCUGGUAAAAAGCAAUAAGCUUAUGUGAAUUGAAAGGCAGGCAGGAAACAGGAGGUUUCAGCUGGAGGAGCGGCGGUCCAUAAAGACCUGGCAGGAGGGAAGAGCAGGUUGCCAUGGAAUGAAGAAACUAUGGCGGGGAUUGAGGGAAACCAGUCCUGAUGUGCAGGAGGAUUCCAGGCCCAAUCUUACUGGAUACAAGCCUAGCUCUGGACAGGAGGGUAGCUACUUCUGCAAGUGUCUUCUCUACACUAAGCUCUUCCCACCCAAACGGAGCUCACCGCCCCCCUUGUGUACUCUUCGGGCACGUCUUCACCAGAACACUCGAUACAUUGCCAAAUCAUUGUCUGUUUAGAUGAGAGUCUUGACGGCAGGGACUCUUGUUCACUUCUGUUCUCCCAUUGGCAAGUUCCUGACCAUGAGCCUCAGCUGUCUUGUCUGUAAAGUGGUACUGGUGUCUGCCUCUUAGGCCUAUCAGCAUCCCCUUGGACACUCCACAUCCCAUGAACCACAUCCACAAGCGACGGUCUUUGGUGUGCCACUUCCUGUUGAAGCUGCCUGUCUACCAGAAUUAGCCUUUCCAUAGGUAAGGCCCUGUCGGGGAAGGUGACGGGGAGCUGUCCAACCAAGACUCCUUAGGAGUCAUUCUCUCUAAUCGACAGCAACGAAAACAAAGGUGAUAUUGCCUCAUCAUCUUUCUUAAAGGUAGGUGUUUAACAUUUUUUAA